GGGACAGGAAUAUAAUAAUUAACUGUUUAAAGGGAGGUCAAAGAGGCACAGGCGCUUUGAGCGGUUUUCCCAGGAACCAGCA
MicroRNA precursor from Cricetulus griseus (Chinese hamster), 82 nucleotides. NCBI's taxonomy places the organism in Eukaryota, Metazoa, Chordata, Mammalia, Rodentia, Cricetidae. The record is from Ensembl.